GACGAACGCUGGCGGCGUGCUUAACACAUGCAAGUCGUACGGUAAGGCCCUUUCGGGGGUACACGAGUGGCGAACGGGUGAGUAACACGUGAGUAACCUGCCCACAACUUUGGGAUAACGCUAGGAAACUGGUGCUAAUACUGGAUAUGUGCUCCUGCUGCAUGGUGGGGGUUGGAAAGCUCCGGCGGUUGUGGAUGGACUCGCGGCCUAUCAGCUUGUUGGUGGGGUAGUGGCCUACCAAGGCGGCGACGGGUAGCCGGCCUGAGAGGGUGACCGGCCAAAUGGGGACGGAGAGACGGCCCAGCCCCCUCGGGGGGGCAGGGGGGGGGAAUAUUGAAAAAGGGGCCCAACCCUGAUGAAGCAACGCCGGGGGCGGGAGGAGGGCCUUCGGGUGUAAAACCGCUUUAAGCGGGGACGAAGCUUUUUGGGGCGGACCCUGAAGAAGAAGCACCGGCUAACUACG
This 463-nucleotide ribosomal RNA is filed under the name uncultured bacterium. RNAcentral's name for it is "partial 16S ribosomal RNA". It matches the Rfam family "Bacterial small subunit ribosomal RNA", at positions 28 to 505 of the family's 1533-position model. The record is from RNAcentral.